Molecule: ribosomal RNA, 253 nt
Filed under: uncultured bacterium
Lineage: Bacteria
Description: partial 16S ribosomal RNA
Rfam family: Bacterial small subunit ribosomal RNA
Source: RNAcentral
UACGGAGGGAGCUAGCGUUGUUCGGAAUUACUGGGCGUAAAGCGCACGUAGGCGGCUUUGUAAGUUAGAGGUGAAAGCCCGGAGCUCAACUCCGGAACUGCCAUUGAAACUGUAGAACUUGAGGAUGAGAGAGGUGAGUGGAAUUCCCAGUGUAGAGGUGAAAUUCGUAGAUAUUGGGAGGAACACCGGUGGCGAAGGCGGCAUCCUGGACCGAGAUUGACGCUGAGGCGCGAAAGCCAGGGGAGCAAACGGG